This 253-nucleotide ribosomal RNA is filed under the name uncultured bacterium. RNAcentral describes it as "partial 16S ribosomal RNA". It matches the Rfam family "Bacterial small subunit ribosomal RNA", at positions 524 to 776 of the family's 1533-position model. The record is from RNAcentral.
UACGAAGGGGGCUAGCGUUGUUCGGAAUUACUGGGCGUAAAGCGCGUGUAGGCGGACUCUUAAGUCAGGGGUGAAAUCCCGAGGCUCAACCUCGGAACUGCAUUUGAUACUGCCUGGCUCGAGUCCGGGAGAGGUGAGCGGAAUUCCUAGUGUAGGGGUGAAAUUCGUAGAUAUCAGGAAGAACACCGGUGGCGAAGGCGGCCACCUGGUCGGUGACUGACGCUGAGACGCGAAAGCGUGAGGAGCAAACAGG